AUCGCUUCUCGGCCUUUUGGCUAAGUAAGAUCAAGUGUAGUAUCUGCUCUUAUCAGUUUAAUAAAUAAAUAUUUUUUUAAAAAAAACAUCAAGAAUAGCUACU
Molecule: small nuclear RNA, 103 nt
Filed under: Erinaceus europaeus (western European hedgehog)
Lineage: Eukaryota; Metazoa; Chordata; Mammalia; Eulipotyphla; Erinaceidae
Description: U2 spliceosomal RNA
Rfam family: U2 spliceosomal RNA
About the family: U2 is a small nuclear RNA (snRNA) component of the spliceosome (involved in pre-mRNA splicing).
Source: Rfam by way of RNAcentral